GUGGGGAAUAUUGCACAAUGGACGAAAGUCUGAUGCAGCAACGCCGCGUGGAGGAUGACACAUUUCGGUGCGUAAACUCCUUUUAUAUGGGAAGAUAAUGACGGUACCAUAUGAAUAAGCACCGGCUAACUCCGUGCCAGCAGCCGCGGUAAUACGGAGGGUGCAAGCGUUACUCGGAAUCACUGGGCGUAAAGAGCGUGUAGGCGGGUAUAUAAGUCAGAAGUGAAAUCCAAUAGCUUAACUAUUGAACUGCUUUUGAAACUGUGUACCUAGAAUGUGGGAGAGGUAGAUGGAAUUUCUGGUGUAGGGGUAAAAUCCGUAGAGAUCAGAAGGAAUACCGAUUGCGAAGGCGAUCUACUGGAACAUUAUUGACGCUGAGACGCGAAAGCGUGGGGAGCAAACAGGAUUAGAAACCCGAGUAGUCC
RNAcentral lists this ribosomal RNA (425 nucleotides) under uncultured bacterium. RNAcentral describes it as "bacterial SSU rRNA". It matches the Rfam family "Bacterial small subunit ribosomal RNA", at positions 354 to 796 of the family's 1533-position model. The record is from RNAcentral.